RNAcentral lists this non-coding RNA (60 nucleotides) under Pandoraea thiooxydans. Its description in RNAcentral is "Burkholderia sp. ATSB16 Betaproteobacteria toxic small RNA". It matches the Rfam family "Betaproteobacteria toxic small RNA". Rfam says of the family: Overexpression in amino aid rich medium attenuates growth, suggesting role in repressing amino acid intake and metabolism. The record is from Rfam by way of RNAcentral. Lineage: Bacteria; Pseudomonadati; Pseudomonadota; Betaproteobacteria; Burkholderiales; Burkholderiaceae.
UGUCUCCUCCACCUCCUCCUGGUGGAUUUUAUGGCCAGCAGAUUGCUGGCCAUUUUUUUU